This 26-nucleotide unclassified non-coding RNA is filed under the name Mus musculus (house mouse). RNAcentral's name for it is "oocyte_clustered_small_RNA11151". Lineage: Eukaryota; Metazoa; Chordata; Mammalia; Rodentia; Muridae. The record is from RNAcentral.
CACCGACCAAGCAGGGCAGAGAGGAU